This 777-nucleotide ribosomal RNA is filed under the name uncultured Neocallimastigales. RNAcentral's name for it is "partial large subunit ribosomal RNA". It matches the Rfam family "Eukaryotic large subunit ribosomal RNA", at positions 24 to 640 of the family's 3401-position model. The record is from RNAcentral. Lineage: Eukaryota; Fungi; Neocallimastigomycota; Neocallimastigomycetes; Neocallimastigales.
UAUGUGAUCGUCUCUCGCAUAUCAAUAAGCGGAGGAAAAGAAACUAACGAGGAUUCCCCUAGUAACGGCGAGUGAAGUGGGAAGAGCUCAAAUUUGAAAUCUUAAAGGGUUUCCCUUUACGAAUUGUAGUUUAAAGAAGUGUUUUCUGUUGAGGUUUUGGUAAAAGUUCUUUGGAAUAGGACAUCAUGGAGGGUGAGAAUCCCGUAUUUGACCUUUACUUUCAACUUUGUGAUACACUUUCAAAGAGUCGGAUUGUUUGGGAAUGCAGUCCAAAAUGGGUGGUAAAUUUCAUCUAAAGCUAAAUAUUGGCGAGAGACCGAUAGCGAACAAGUACCGUGAGGGAAAGAUGAAAAGAACUUUGAAAGAGAGAGUUAAACAGUACGUGAAAUUGUCAAAAGGGAAGCGUUUGACACCAGUGUUGUUUUUCUGAAAAUCAAUUAAAGAACUGUUUAUGCUAAGCUUGUUUAGACUUUAUCAGCUAACUGUUUAGUUUUGAGCUUUUCUUUAAUGCACUUUUCAGUUAACAAGUCAACAUCAAUUUCUUUUGCUGUAAAAAAGCUUGAGGAAGGUGGCUUGAGAUUCGUCUUAAGUGUUUAUAGCCUCUUGCCUAUGCAGUCGGAGAGAUUGAGGUCUGCAGCGUAGAUCCUUCGGGGCUAAAUGCAUUUGUGCUAAGUUAUAGCAUUUUAUAGACAACUUGUUGACUACUGAUUUGUCUUGUAGCUUACUCGCUUAUGUUAUUUUACCUACGCUUAGGAUGUUGAUAUGCAUGACUGAUAU